This 433-nucleotide ribosomal RNA is filed under the name uncultured bacterium. RNAcentral's name for it is "partial 16S ribosomal RNA". It matches the Rfam family "Bacterial small subunit ribosomal RNA", at positions 29 to 507 of the family's 1533-position model. The record is from RNAcentral.
AACGAACGCUGGCGGCAUGCCUAACACAUGCAAGUCGAACGAGACCUUCGGGUCGGGUGGCGCACGGGUGCGUAAGGCGUGGGAACCUGCCCUUAGGUUCGGAAUACCUCCCCGAAAGGGGUGCUAAUACCGGAUCAUGUCUUCGGAGCCAUGAUUUAUCGCCUUUGGCUGGGCCCGCGUUGGCUUAGCUAGUUGGUAGGGUAAAAGCCUACCAAGGCGACGAUCCAUAGCUGGUCUGAGAGGCAGAUCAGCCACACUGGGACUGGGACACGGCCCAGACUCCUACGGGAGGCAGCAGUGGGUAAUAUUGGACAAUGGGCGAAAGCCUGAUCCAGCAAUGCCGCGUGAGUGAUGAAGGCCUUAGGGUUGUAAAGCUCUUUUACCCGGGAUGAUAAUGACAGUACCGGGAGAAUAAGCUCCGGCUAACUCCGUG